This 2915-nucleotide ribosomal RNA is filed under the name Vibrio parahaemolyticus. RNAcentral's name for it is "bacterial LSU rRNA". It matches the Rfam family "Bacterial large subunit ribosomal RNA". The record is from RNAcentral. Lineage: Bacteria; Pseudomonadati; Pseudomonadota; Gammaproteobacteria; Vibrionales; Vibrionaceae.
GUUGUAUGGUUAAGUGACUAAGCGUACACGGUGGAUGCCUUGGCAGUCAGAGGCGAUGAAAGACGUAGUAACUUGCGAUAAGCCCAGAUUAGGUAGUAACAACCAUUUGAGUCUGGGAUUUCUGAAUGGGGAAACCCACGUGCAUAAGCACGUAUCCUUACCUGAAUACAUAGGGUAAGGAGGCGAACCGGGGGAACUGAAACAUCUAAGUACCCCGAGGAAAAGAAAUCAACCGAGAUUCCGAAAGUAGCGGCGAGCGAAAUUGGACUAGCCCUUAAGCUUUACACGCGUUAGACGAACGGUCUGGAAAGUCCGACGAUACAGGGUGAUAGUCCCGUAGUUGACGACGUGUGUUCAGUGAAAUCGAGUAGGGCGGGACACGUGAUAUCCUGUCUGAAUAUGGGGGGACCAUCCUCCAAGGCUAAAUACUACUGACUGACCGAUAGUGAACCAGUACCGUGAGGGAAAGGCGAAAAGAACCCCUGUGAGGGGAGUGAAAUAGAACCUGAAACCGUGUACGUACAAGCAGUAGGAGCAGGCUUUGUCCUGUGACUGCGUACCUUUUGUAUAAUGGGUCAGCGACUUAUAUUCAGUGGCAAGGUUAACCAUCUAGGGGAGCCGUAGGGAAACCGAGUCUUAACUGGGCGUUCAGUCUCUGGAUAUAGACCCGAAACCAGGUGAUCUAGCCAUGGGCAGGUUGAAGGUUGAGUAACAUCAACUGGAGGACCGAACCGACUAAUGUUGAAAAAUUAGCGGAUGACUUGUGGCUAGGGGUGAAAGGCCAAUCAAACCUGGAGAUAGCUGGUUCUCCCCGAAAGCUAUUUAGGUAGCGCCUCGGACGAAUACUACUGGGGGUAGAGCACUGUUAAGGCUAGGGGGUCAUCCCGACUUACCAACCCUUUGCAAACUCCGAAUACCAGUAAGUACUAUCCGGGAGACACACGGCGGGUGCUAACGUCCGUCGUGGAGAGGGAAACAACCCAGACCGCCAGCUAAGGUCCCAAAUUACUACUAAGUGGGAAACGAUGUGGGAAGGCUCAGACAGCCAGGAUGUUGGCUUAGAAGCAGCCAUCAUUUAAAGAAAGCGUAAUAGCUCACUGGUCGAGUCGGCCUGCGCGGAAGAUGUAACGGGGCUAAGUAGUAAACCGAAGCUGCGGCAAUACUCUUUGAGUAUUGGGUAGGGGAGCGUUCUGUAAGCGGUUGAAGGUGUGUGGUAACGCAUGCUGGACGUAUCAGAAGUGCGAAUGCUGACAUGAGUAACGAUAAAGGGGGUGAAAAACCUCCUCGCCGGAAGACCAAGGGUUCCUGUCCAACGUUAAUCGGGGCAGGGUAAGUCGACCCCUAAGGCGAGGCCGAAAGGCGUAGUCGAUGGGAAACGGGUUAAUAUUCCCGUACUUCUUACAAUUGCGAUGGGGGGACGGAGAAGGCUAGGUGGGCCUGGCGACGGUUGUCCAGGUUCAAGUGCGUAGGCUUGAGAGUUAGGUAAAUCCGGCUCUCUUUAAGGCUGAGACACGACGUCGAGCACCUACGGGUGUGAAGUCAUUGAUGCCAUGCUUCCAGGAAAAGCCUCUAAGCUUCAGAUUGUAAGGAAUCGUACCCCAAACCGACACAGGUGGUCGGGUAGAGAAUACCAAGGCGCUUGAGAGAACUCGGGUGAAGGAACUAGGCAAAAUGGUACCGUAACUUCGGGAGAAGGUACGCUCUCGACGGUGAAGUCCCUCGCGGAUGGAGCUAUUGAGAGUCGCAGAUACCAGGUGGCUGCAACUGUUUAUUAAAAACACAGCACUGUGCAAAAUCGUAAGAUGACGUAUACGGUGUGACGCCUGCCCGGUGCCGGAAGGUUAAUUGAUGGGGUUAGACUUCGGUCGAAGCUCUUGAUCGAAGCCCCGGUAAACGGCGGCCGUAACUAUAACGGUCCUAAGGUAGCGAAAUUCCUUGUCGGGUAAGUUCCGACCUGCACGAAUGGCGUAAUGAUGGCCACGCUGUCUCCACCCGAGACUCAGUGAAAUUGAAAUCGCUGUGAAGAUGCAGUGUACCCGCGGCUAGACGGAAAGACCCCGUGAACCUUUACUACAGCUUGGCACUGAACAUUGACCCUACAUGUGUAGGAUAGGUGGGAGGCUUUGAAGCAGGUACGCCAGUAUCUGUGGAGCCGUCCUUGAAAUACCACCCUUGUAGUGUUGAUGUUCUAACGUCGACCCCUAAUCGGGGUUGCGGACAGUGCCUGGUGGGUAGUUUGACUGGGGCGGUCUCCUCCCAAAGAGUAACGGAGGAGCACGAAGGUGGGCUAAUCACGGUUGGACAUCGUGAGGUUAGUGCAAUGGCAUAAGCCCGCUUGACUGCGAGAAUGACAAUUCGAGCAGGUGCGAAAGCAGGUCAUAGUGAUCCGGUGGUUCUGAAUGGAAGGGCCAUCGCUCAACGGAUAAAAGGUACUCCGGGGAUAACAGGCUGAUACCGCCCAAGAGUUCAUAUCGACGGCGGUGUUUGGCACCUCGAUGUCGGCUCAUCACAUCCUGGGGCUGAAGUCGGUCCCAAGGGUAUGGCUGUUCGCCAUUUAAAGUGGUACGCGAGCUGGGUUUAGAACGUCGUGAGACAGUUCGGUCCCUAUCUGCCGUGGGCGUUGGAAGAUUGAAGGGGGCUGCUCCUAGUACGAGAGGACCGGAGUGGACGAACCUCUGGUGUUCGGGUUGUGUCGCCAGACGCAUUGCCCGGUAGCUAAGUUCGGAAUCGAUAACCGCUGAAAGCAUCUAAGCGGGAAGCGAGCCCUGAGAUGAGUCUUCCCUGAUACUUUAAGUAUCCUAAAGGGUUGUCGGAGACUACGACGUUGAUAGGUCAGGUGUGUAAGUGCUGUGAGGCAUUGAGCUAACUGAUACUAAUUGCCCGUGAGGCUUAACCAUACAACACCCAAGGGGUUU